AUGGCGACGGAAGGGAGGAAAGUGUGGGGAGAAACAGCAUAUGACGAUAAUGAGCAAGAAAUGGAUUAUCAGGAAGUAAGAUACAAUAAAAGGAAGAAAAAGAGCAGCAUGGGUGAUGGAUCUGAUUGUGAACAAACAAUUAAUAAAGUAAAACAAAUGAGCAGUGGAGAUGAUAAAGAGGAGGAAAGAGAAAUCAAGGUCCUAAUUACUUUUGCUAAGCAGUCAGAACAACAAACUCAUCCGGUUAAAUUAUCGAAAGCAAUUGAGAAAGAGAUAGGAGUAGUGAAAGCUGUAGCUUGUCUAAACAAUGGAAGAAUAAUGAUUAAAUGUAAGGAUGAAAAGCAAAAACAAAAAAUUCUGAAAAUGAAAACGUUGGCAGGAGGAAAGAUAUCAUGCACAGAAAUAGGUAAUGGAAUCAGAGGGGUUAUUUCAGGAGUACCUCUUAAUGUGAGUGUGGAUGAUAUUAAAGGAAAUCUAAGUGGAGGCACAGUUAUCUCUGUUAGAAGACUGCAGAUGUGGAAAGACAACAAAAGAUGUGAGAGUAUGAGUGUGAUGAUUCAGUUUGAAGGGAGUAACUUGCCCACAAGAGUGAAGAUAGGAUUUGUUAGCUUCUUGGUACGAGAGUUCAUACCUCCACCUCUGAGAUGCUUUAAGUGUCAACGGAUGGGACAUACUGCAAAUGUCUGUAAGGGGAAAAUGCGGUGUGCAAAAUGUGGGGGGGAACAUGAAUAUGGCAAGUGUGAGGAGGGUGUAGUGAUUAAAUGCUGUAACUGUGGAGGUGGACAUAGCGCAGCAUACGCAGGAUGUCCUGUACAACAAGAAGCCCGUGAAGCACAAACAAUAAAAACUGUGCAAAAUGUAACAUAUGCAGAAGCUAUGCGCAAGAUAAAAGACAAAGGUAAAGCUGAACCGAAGGUAAAUAAUGUGCGAGGAAAUAGGUUGGAAUCCUAUUCUCAGAGAGAAUUAAAUCAUGAGAGGAAUGAGCCAGAUCUGCAUAUCGCAGUAAACAAAAUUGACUUUGUGGCAUUCAUUUGUGCGGUGGUGAAUGGUACCUCACAAGUGGAAAAGAAAUCUGACAAAUUAAGGAUUAUUGUAGGAUGUGCUAAUAAAUUUCUCAAGUUAACAGGAAUCUCAGCUGAGGAGGUGCAUGGGAUUUUGAAAGCGGAAGAAGGAAUUACUGCCAUGGAUAUGACUCAG
Molecule: long non-coding RNA, 1197 nt
Organism: Cyprinus carpio (common carp)
Lineage: Eukaryota; Metazoa; Chordata; Actinopteri; Cypriniformes; Cyprinidae
Source: Ensembl